AUUGAACGCUGGCGGCAGGCCUAACACAUGCAAGUCGAGCGGAUGAAGGGAGCUUGCUCCUGGAUUCAGCGGCGGACGGGUGAGUAAUGCCUAGGAAUCUGCCUGGUAGUGGGGGAUAACGUCCGGAAACGGGCGCUAAUACCGCAUACGUCCUGAGGGAGAAAGUGGGGGAUCUUCGGACCUCACGCUAUCAGAUGAGCCUAGGUCGGAUUAGCUAGUUGGUGGGGUAAAGGCCUACCAAGGCGACGAUCCGUAACUGGUCUGAGAGGAUGAUCAGUCACACUGGAACUGAAACACGGUCCAGACUCCUACGGGAGGCAGCAGUGGGGAAUAUUAGACAAUGGGCGAAAGCCUGAUCCAGCCAUGCCGCGUGUGUGAAGAAGGUCUUCGGAUUGUAAAGCACUUUAAGUUGGGAGGAAGGGCAGUAAGUUAAUACCUUGCUGUUUUGACGUUACCAACAGAAUAAGCACCGGCUAACUUCGUG
RNAcentral lists this ribosomal RNA (484 nucleotides) under uncultured bacterium. RNAcentral's name for it is "partial 16S ribosomal RNA". It matches the Rfam family "Bacterial small subunit ribosomal RNA", at positions 30 to 507 of the family's 1533-position model. The record is from RNAcentral.